ACGGUCAAUACUAAGGGAUACGGAUUUGUGAGUUUUUCCAACCCGUUAGACCAGGGUGCGGCACUUGAAGAAAUGAAUGGAAAGUAUGUUGGAAACCGGCCGAUUCAACUUCGCAAGAGUAAGUAGCAAACCAGGGAUUGGUGGAUGGGGAGAAACAUAGUUGUUUUGGAAACUUGGGUUUUACAAGAUAUCUGAAGUUAACAUACUGUCAUUAAUGUAUCAGUAAAUAUCAAACCUAGUGUGGGUUUACUGAGGAUGAUUAAAGUCUAAUCUUAGUUGGUGGUCCCUUUGCUUCCGUAUUGUUGUGUUACCUGCUAGAUUUACAUGAACUUUGAAAGGUUGCGGCCAUUUUGAGACAAUUUCUAUACAUAUGAUGGUAGUUUUGCCUCU
Long non-coding RNA from Lycium barbarum (goji berry), 390 nucleotides. RefSeq lists it as uncharacterized. NCBI's taxonomy places the organism in Eukaryota, Viridiplantae, Streptophyta, Magnoliopsida, Solanales, Solanaceae. The transcript is spliced from 2 exons. The record is from RefSeq and is a predicted model, not a curated record.